Molecule: ribosomal RNA, 253 nt
Filed under: uncultured bacterium
Lineage: Bacteria
Description: partial 16S ribosomal RNA
Rfam family: Bacterial small subunit ribosomal RNA
Source: RNAcentral
UACGUAGGGUGCAAGCGUUAAUCGGAAUUACUGGGCGUAAAGCGUGCGCAGGCGGUUGUGCAAGACAGGUGUGAAAUCCCCGGGCUUAACCUGGGAACUGCACUUGUGACUGCACGGCUGGAGUGCGGCAGAGGGGGAUGGAAUUCCGCGUGUAGCAGUGAAAUGCGUAGAUAUGCGGAGGAACACCGAUGGCGAAGGCAAUCCCCUGGGCCUGCACUGACGCUCAUGCACGAAAGCGUGGGGAGCAAACAGG